UCGAGUUUGUGCCGUUCCUGUAUAUGUAUGUGCUUUUAUCCUUGAUAAGUUCUCUUAUUGAUCGAAUCUUCUAGAAUUUAAAGAAAGCUCCAUAUAUUAUAUUUCACUUUGUUGAAGCUGUUUGAUUGAUAGUUUCUGCGGCUGAUAAGCAGUCUGACGUUGAUUUGUUGUAAGAGAAAAACAUUGUAUCAUGGCUGAUAAGUUCAAGUGAACUCUAAAUGUUUUAUUUGCUUGGCUUAUCCACCAUGGUACAAUGUUUUUCUCUCACAACAAAUCAGCAUCAGUUAGCUUAUCAGCCACAGAAACCAUCCAUGCACUAGUCUAGCCAAAUUUUGGUCACCAGACUAUGGUUUUGUUCAACUUAGGCCAUCAAAAUGAUUUAAGAUGGUCAAACGGAAAACCUACCGAGCUAACAUUUGGUAUCAAACUCAAUGGAAGCCAAUUUUGGUCAAAGUAGCCAAAUUUUGGUUUGUAUCCUAGUAUCCUACACAUGGGUAAUCAACCAAACGCACAUGAACAUGUCCUGAGGCCCAGGGCAUUUGAGGCAUGCACUAUUGUUUACGAUUAUUAUGCUUAUAUGGUUAUACUCGCUCACUCUCAAUCUAUGCUAGUUAAACUAUCUUAAAUUUGACUUAUAAAAAUUAGUAAUAACAUCUACGACAGACAUAAAAUGAGUGUGUUAUGAAAAUAUAUUCUAUGGUCUAUCUUAUGAUUAGGGCUUUUUCUAGAAAUUUGGUUAAAUUUUAAAAAUUUGACUUUAAGUAACUCUACAAAUCUAUUUAUUCAGGAAUAGAGAGAGUAUUAGAACAUCGUCUCCAGCUAUAUGGGUUACAGGCACAAGGGACAAAGGGAGGUUGUAGGCACGGAGAGGGAAUCCAAAGUGGCCUUGUCCGUAGAUUACAUGGUCAUCAUAGCUUGUACUAAGGCUUUGUUUAGUUCACCCCAAAAACCAAAAAGUUUUCAAAAUUCUCUGUCACAUCAAAUCUUUUGGCACAUGCAUUAAACAUUAAAUAUAAAUAAAAAUAAAAACUAAUUGUACAGUUUAACUGUAAAUCGCGAGACGAAUCUUUUGAUCCUAGUUAGGCCUUGUUUAGAUCCAAAAACUUUUUGGAUUUGGACACUGUAGCAUUUUCGUUUUUAUUUGACAAACAUUGUCCAAUCACAGAGUAACUAGGCUUAAAAGAUUCGUCUCGUGAUUUACAAGCAAACUGUGUAAUUAGUUUUUAUUUUUAUCUAUAUUUAAUGUUUCAUGCAUGUGCCGUAAGAUUCGAUGUGACGGGGAAUCUUGAAAAUUUUUUUGUUUUUAGGAUGAACUAAACAAGAUCUUAGUUCAUGAUUGGACAAUAUUUGCCACAAAUAAACAAAAAUAUUACAGUAACAAAAUCCAAAAUCUUUUCGCAUCUAACAAGGCCUAACCUUAAUCCGGUCGGCAGCUCAUGUAUGAGAACUGUGCUUCACCUUAGCGUACCGCCCGAACUUCGGCGUCUACAUUGGGCAGCCAUGUCAUAUCACUUGAUGGUAAUUUUGAGAGACAAGGUCUUGUUUUGUUUGCGAAAAGACAUUUUUAAGCGUCAUGUAAGAUAUGUCGAUAUACAUUUAAAGUAUUAAAUAUAAACUAAUCAAAAAAUUAAAUUACAUAGCUCAUCUAAAAAUUACAAAACAAAUUUACUGAUCAUAGAUCAGUUGGUUAGGUUUAUUGUAGUGGAACCUGCCUAUCCGGGUUUAAGUCCCCGACUUGAUCAUAGAUCAGCUGGUUAGGUUUCUUGUAGUGGAACCUAUCCAUCCGGGUUCAAGUCCCCGACUUGACAUGAGUGCUCGUAUUUUUCUAGAUUUAUUUUAUGAUUUAACGACGCUAUGUUUUCAGUGGUAGGUGAUGUGCCCGUCGACAACGAGACGUCUGUAGUGACUUCAUCAAUCUCGAUAUUUGCCGGUUUAACUCGGUUCUUCGGUUGUGCUCAUAGGGGUAGGAUGUGCGUGAGUGUGUAUUCAUAGGGGUGAGUGUGCGCUCAUGUUUAUAAACGUCUGCAUCUGGAACCGGGUCUCGCAAAAAAAAAUAUGUCAUUAGUACAUGUUAGUUGUUGUAGUAAUUGUGAUUAACUAUAGACUAAUUUAAUUUAAAAAAUUUGAUUUUACAACCAAAUUAUGUUAUUAAUUUUUUUGUCUAUAUUUGAUAGAUGAAUUUUUUUUUUUGUGGGAUCUAAACAAGGCUCACAGAGACAGGUUUAGGGAACUCUCGCCGGAUAAAAGGUUGAGGCAGCCUCUAAAGGAGAGCGUUGAAGCGAAUAAAGUGCUCCACAAUGAUGCCACCUCUCCAAGGACCUGCCCAUGCACAGGCAAGCAAGGAUGGCACCGGGUACAGGAGUGGCCACCCUCAUAUUUACACCUGAGAAGUCUAAAUUUUACCUGUCGUGUUACCGUACUCGCACGCAGAUAGAAAAAUGUUCCCAUACUCAUACCCGCGGUUAAAUUCUACCCGAUGGGUAACCCAUACCCAAUAGUAUAUCCGAGAAUUAUAUAUAAACAUCAAAUAUUCACACGCAAAAAAAAUCAUUCUAAGCGGCCAACAAGUUACAAACUAAAAAUCAUAUAAUAACAUCAAAUUCAUAUAUAUACUAGGAGAAUUUAGUUGAAUUUAGACCAAAUUCAUAGAUUAUAUAGGCUAAAAUGACAAGGGUGACUAUUUAUUUUAGCGGAUAUUUUUUUACCUACAGAUAGACAGAUAUGGGUAGUAUACACUCACACCGUACCCCGCAAUAUCCGAUAGGUAUAGAAUUUUGUCUAAUAAUAUACCCAUGGGUAGAAAAUUCAUCCUGUACCUACUUCUUUAUCAGGUAAAACCCAUCAGAUACUCGGGUUUCGGUACCGAUUGCCAUCUUUACUGACAAGGUGCCAACCAACAGGACCUACGCAGCAGUACUUGGUGAAAGCAAUAAUAAGGCCUUGUUUAGUUGGUAAUUUUUACUUUCGUUUACAUUUAAUAAUUAUUAUCCACCAUAGACUAACUAGUUUUAAAAGAUUCGUCUCACAAAUUACAGACGAAUUAUGCAAUUAAUUAUUUUUUAUCUAUAUUUAAUGCUCCAUGCAUGUGCCCACAAGAUUACAGGAAAUUUUGAUCAUUUUGCAAAAUAAUUCAGAAACUAAACAGGAUCUAAGUAAUAAGAGUCCUACUAUUCCAAAACAUUUAUUAAGAUAACUUAAAGAAAUACUCAAUAAUUAACAUGCAUGCAUGUACCUGCACGUUAUAUAACACAUACAUUCUAAAACGUUUAUGAGAACUUAAAUGAGCACUCAAUGAUACAUUGCACCCAUGGAUUAAACCUGGUUAAGGAGUUUAUCAUUAAAUUAUAGUUUUCUUUUUAAAAAACUUUGCUAGAUUUGAGUAUAGGCACCACAUAAAGUGUUUUAUGUUUCAGUACAAAAUUUAAAAGAUAUAAUACACUAUACUACACUACGGAGGAGUAGCUCUAAGCUUUUGAAUUUUAUCAUAUGCUUAGAAUAAAAAAACUUGAUUUUCUUUAUCUACUAAAAUAGAAAAAACAGCUCAACCAUACAACCUUGGAAUACUUGUACCUUUUUAUAUAGGAACAUUCUGUUCCAAGAAAUAUACAAAAAUCCUUAUAGAUAGAUCUAUGACAAAUGUGGGUCUAUUUGUUUUUGGCUUAUGACUUCAUAUAUAUCUCGCCAUAAAAUUAUUGUUGUUUGCAACACGUACUGUUACUAUAAUCGUGAGUGAUAUUUAGAUAUACAUAGAUAUCUUUACAUGUAUCUACAUCUUUUGUUGAUCUUAGAGGCAAACCUCGUUUCUAUUCGUUAAACAAAAAUAAGAGUGUCAAUACAGAUCAAGAUAAGCUUGAGGAUGUGUUUGGUUACACGCUUUGGCUAGCCACGCUGUUACGACAAUGCCGUAGCUAUGUAUGUACACGUCACACCUUCACCACAGAGAAAACGACAACCAAGCGAGCGAACACAAUAGGUGUGGCGGUCAAAGUUUACAUGGCAACCAAAACAACGGCGAAAGUGGUUGUACUUUUUUAAAGGCUUGUUAAGUUUAUUUUCACCUAAAAACUUAAAUUUUUUUAAGAUUUCUCGUCACAUCGAAUCUUUAGACAUAUACAUUGAGUACUAAAUAUAGAUGAAAAUAAAAACUAACUGCACAAUUUUGUCGGAAUUGACGAGACGAAUCUUUUGAGCCUAGUUAGUCUAUGAUUAGACAAUAAUUACUAUAAACAAAUGAAAGUGCUACAGUAUCCUGAAAAAUUUCGCUUCAUGAACUAAACAAUGUCUUACUGUCACGGGAGAGGUGUUCUCCAUCUGAAUUCGUAUAUUGGCCCAAAACAACCUAUUAUAUGGUUUUACAAGAUAUAUUAUAUAUUUUAGAUGCCUAGCAUACGAGCGAACCAUAGCAUAACUAAAGAUAUACCAAAAAAGAAGAAAGUACUACACCAAGGCACAAGAACUCUUCAACGAUGCUUCUAGGGAGCUAAAUGACGUCGCAACAUAAUCACCGUUGCCCAAGGAGCACGAGGUUACUCCACACGACCUUGGCAAGACUUUCACCCAAGUCUUGUAACGAGGAGUUGAGUGGGACGAUUCAUAAGACGACAGCAAGAGGUUCUUCAAUGACGUAUUCAAGAAGGAGUUCCUCGUCAUUGGCCCAGACUUAUCUGAGAUGAGCUUUCGCCCAGAACCUUUGCCGAAAGCCUGUUAACCCGCCCGAGCCGGAGGGAGGCACAACGGCAAGACUUCGUCCUCGGAGUGGUGUUGGUGUUGAGGAAGGUUAUCGGCCGCCACCGUACCAGCGCGGAGCUAUUUCCAGACUCGCUCGCUAUAGUGGGAGACGUGCACCAUCAAACGAUCACACCUGGGUGUAGAGAGUUUGCCGGCCACCAUCACGUCGUGCGGAGCUAUUCGGACUCGCCCGUAACGUAACAGGAGGCGGCGUGCACUGGCAAGCGUCUGUCCGUCGCCGCCAGCCGUGGCGAGUUGUGACGUGCAAUCAAAUAUGUCCCGAGCAGUGACUAUACGAUCCAAAUAGGGUUGUUUAAAGGCGUCCCGAUGUUUAUAUUUGACUAUCGACCAAUAGUAGAUUGAGGCACCACACCAGAGAGCGAUAGGAGGCGCGGAAGCGCGCGGGGUGGGGGAGGUAAGGGUCCAUGUGCACGGUGCACCCGAGCACGAGUGUGCUACAGUGGAGAGGAGGAGGGAGACUGGAGAGCGGUAGGCGCACAUGGCAGGCCAGGAGCAGGAGCCGCGCGGUGGCGAGUUGCGACGCGACGCAGGACUGCAGCAGGAGUAGUAGUGGAUCCUGAUCUGACCCGGGGUCCCCCGGGGAGGCGGGGGUGAUGGAUGCCAGCCAGGCCGGCUCCAUCCGCCGUCCGUCGCCUCCAUCCGACGGCCGUCCCGCCGCGCCGUCCCAUGCCGAGCGAGCCCAAUCAUUUCACAUCGUCUGGCGCUCGCAGGUCGCAGACGCAGCUCGGCCCCCCCUUCGUCCUCUUCGGCUCCUCCUCGCAGUCGCUCGCUGCGUGCGCCAAAAGCAGCAGCAGCAGGAGGAGGAGGAGGAGGUCCUCCAGCCGUCGCCGUCUCCACUCUCCACCACCACUGCUCGGCGGCGCGCCGGAUCGAGGGAGGGCAGUCGGAGGAGGAGGAGGGAUGAGUCUCUUCGGGCUUGGACGGUGAGCGCUCGCGCUCGCGCGAUCUCGAUCGUAUCGUACACAUAUACUGCUUCGCUCUGCUCCUUUUGCUUUAUUAUUCCCCUCGUCCCUGGCUUGGCGUUGGCGCCCGUGGGUUCGGGACGGCGGGAUCCAGUCCAGGCGCGUUGCUGCUGGAAUUGAGAUCUCGCUCUCGCGCGCGCGGGGGGUUUGCGGGAUCGGGGAACUCCCUCCCUCCCUCCCCCGCUUGAUCCGCUCGCUGCUCUAGCUGCGGGGGUCGGCCCUAAUUUUGGGUAUUCUGCGUUCAGCAAUCACGGCUGCUCCACCAUGCUAGUGCCACUGUGGGGGGAGGGAGUCCCUACUCCGCUCCGCUGAACCCUUGUUUUUUUCCACCUUGAUUUUGGGUUUUCCUCCCGAAAAUGCGAGUUCAGUUAGCCCACUUCUCCCGCGUGUUCAGUGUUAGACCAGUUCUCCAGUUCCCUGCGAAUUUGCGAACCCCCCCUCACCGCCGCCUGGAAUCAAGCCAUUUCUCUAGAGUGAGUCGUGGAACCAAUCCUGCCUGAAAUCUACAAGAUGGCAUGCAUGGGAGGCCUGGUCUGCAUUCCCCUGUAAGAUUGGUUCGCUGCGCAUUUACAAGCAGAUAGAUACCGUCCCUGGAUUGGUUCCACUUGGGGAAUUAAUCCCUCCCUUGCAACCCCAACAUGCCCCGCGUUAUCGAGGAAUUCUGCUGAUUUUAGCUUCUGAUGCAGCAAUCGUCCUGAUCAUCAGUGGUUUUUAUUCUUCUGGCAGGAACCAGAAGACAUUCCGUCCCAAGAAGAGUGCUCCGUCAGGCAGCAAGGUAAGAAUUUCGACUUCCCAGUUCCCUCUUUAUUACUACUAGGUACCGGCAACAACUGCCUGUACUUGUGCCCAUUGUUUGGCAUGCUGCGUACCAUGCAAAGUGCGUUUCAUGUGUGGUGGCCGUUGCCUUGAUGCUCUGGAUCAUCAAUCAAAAUUUGAUGUGUCCAGGUGAUCAUGCACCAGAGCCGCCUGGCUAAGUUGCAGCCGCUAGGAGCAUGACUGAUGACUGAACAUGUGAGCAAUGUAGCUAGGUGUCAAUUUGUUGCAAUCCCUAGUGAUUUGUUUGGCCAUGCUACAUCCAGGAUUUUAAUCAGUGAUAUGCAAUGUUUCGGGGGCAUGCAGAUGCAGGCUAUUCUUGUCACUGAGAAGUAUGCGAUAGAGAUAGUUCAAUUAGUCUGGUUAGAACUUUGGGUUAAGGCCUUGUUUAGUUCCUACCCAAAAACUUUUCGCCCCAUACCAUUAAAUGUUUGGACACAUGCAUGGAGCAUUAAAUAUAGAUAAAAAAAUAACUAAUUGCACAGUUUGCAUGUAUUUUGCGAGACGAAUCUCUUAUGCCUAAUUAGUCCAUGAUUGGAUACUAAUUGCUAUAGUUACAAAUGUGGUACCCAAAAACUUUUCUUUCCACGAACUAGACAAGGCCUAACUUCAGGAGUAUGAAUUGGGGAUCGAUCUUAUCAGAGUGUUCGGGAAGUAGACAGAUCUGUUUCGGCUUUCAUCUUUCUGUUCUGGCCAUGUCCAGAACUAAAGGAUAUCUUGCUCGACUGACAUUCUUGUUGUCUAUUUCCAAGAGCUCUGUUUAUCACUGCACAAUUGCACAUUUGUUAACAUAAAGUGACACAGCAGUUUUGUUGGAUUGCUUUAUUCUUCCAUCUAUUCCAAGACACUCUGUACUAAACAUUUAACACUGAUGACGAGAUUCCCUUUGCUGCUUCUCAUGUGCCAAUUAAAUCCAUUACACAAAUACUUUCAGUUGAAAGGUCUAACAAACAUUGUUGUCCAACAUCUAUGGUUGUAGUAUUUAUAUAGCCAAUGAAUCCUUUGCAAAACUAUGUAGGAUGCUUAUUUAACAUUGAGUGGUGUUAAUGAAAGACUUGCAGCAGUUAUUUCUAGCACAUUCAAUCUUCAGUACAUGCCAUGGCUCUUAAGUCGCCUGUGAUGAGCAAACUCUUCAGUGCAUGUUUUAUUUGCCACUUGAAAUAAGCACAAGCAUUGAGUCAUAAAUUACAUUGUGAAUAAUGUGAUGCAUAACUUGACCUUUUCUUUUUGUCUGCAGGGAGCGCAGCUCCGGAAGCACAUAGAUGCCACUCUCGGCAGUGGAAACCUUAGGGAAGCUGUGAGGUUGCCCCCUGGAGAGGAUAUCAAUGAAUGGCUUGCUGUGAAUAGUAAUGUUCUUCCCUUCCGUUUUCAGUUUUCACCUAACUCGGUUAUUCCAUUGAAGCUAACAUGUUUGUUUUGCUUUACAGCUGUGGAUUUCUUUAACCAAGUUAAUCUGCUGUAUGGCACACUCACAGAAUUCUGCACACCUGAGAGCUGCCCGACAAUGACAGCUGGCCCAAAGUAAGCCUUUACAAGUUUACAUACAUUCUAUUCUUCUGGGUUGUCAAAAUACAAAAUGGUGAACAACUAUCCACAAAAAUUGUCAGUGACUAGUUUAUUUGCAUAAUUGUAAUUUUGCGUAUGGUGAACUGUUUCACCAAGGCUGCUAUUGAAUGAUGACUCUUAGAGGCAAGUGUCUCCUUGCUAAGUUGCUAUUUGCUCUUAUAUCUUAACUAGCAACUCAUUUUUCUGGCUUCAUACUGACAGGAUAUCAACAGUCCUCGAAAACCAGUUAGUUUCUUUCUGUAGAAGCUAUACAUAACUAUCAGUUGUUAGGGUGUCAAAGCAUAGGAAUAUGAUGAUGUACUAGCUCAAAAGUUCAAUAUUAGUGUGCCUAAAAAAAUGUAUGCCUCAUGGUGACCUUUUCUUAAUUGUGCUUACAUUUCCCUGCAAUGCAAGGGGCUCAUUUUCACAUGGUGUUCUAGUGUAUUUUGAAUCUUGAUAAUGAAUACUCUAGGUUAUGCCUCUUUUUGGGAGAAGAAUACUUUGUUUAUGGCCAUGCCUUUUGUGGUGCUAAGCAUUUAACAAGUUAGUAUUUUUGUCAUAUAACUCCAUCUGUUAUAAAUUGGUGCCCAUAAUAUUGUGAUGCAUAUUCUUCGAAAUUAGUUUAAUAUUUAGAUCAUAUCAUGACAGAAGAAACAUGAGGUUUAUGCAGGUACGAGUACAGAUGGGCUGAUGGUGUGCAGAUAAAGAAACCCAUAGAGGUAUCAGCACCAAAAUAUGUGGAGUAUCUGAUGGAUUGGAUUGAAGGCCAGCUUGACGAUGAAUCCAUAUUUCCUCAAAAACUUGGUAUGUUGCUUUUGUUGUGGAUUUGUGGAGCUCUCUCAGUUUCUUGUGAACACCUGAUAUCGGAUGCAAUCAAGCAUGUUAUCUGAUUUGGAUGUCAUUUCCCCUCUGUCAAGGCAC
This 8990-nucleotide long non-coding RNA is filed under the name Sorghum bicolor (sorghum). Its description in RNAcentral is "long non-coding RNA (SBIC_LNC011661)". The record is from RNAcentral. Lineage: Eukaryota; Viridiplantae; Streptophyta; Magnoliopsida; Poales; Poaceae.